GAUGAACGCUAGCUACAGGCUUAACACAUGCAAGUCGAGGGGCAGCGGGAUUGAAGCUUGCUUCAAUUGCCGGCGACCGGCGCACGGGUGAGUAACGCGUAUCCAACCUUCCGUACACUCAGGGAUAGCCUUUCGAAAGAAAGAUUAAUACCUGAUGGUAUGAUGAGAUUGCAUGAUAGCAUCAUUAAAGAUUUAUCGGUGUACGAUGGGGAUGCGUUCCAUUAGGUAGUAGGCGGGGUAACGGCCCACCUAGCCUACGAUGGAUAGGGGUUCUGAGAGGAAGGCCCCCCACAUUGGAACUGAGACACGGUCCAAACUCCUACGGGAGGCAGCAGUGAGGAAUAUUGGUCAAUGGGACGAGAGUCUGAACCAGCCAAGUAGCGUGAAGGAUGAAGGUCUUACGGAUUGUAAACUUCUUUAUAAGGGAUAAACCCUCCACGUGUGGGAGCUUGUAUGUACCUUAUGAAUAAGCAUCGGCUAACUCCGUGCCAGCAGCC
RNAcentral lists this ribosomal RNA (497 nucleotides) under uncultured bacterium. RNAcentral's name for it is "bacterial SSU rRNA". It matches the Rfam family "Bacterial small subunit ribosomal RNA", at positions 28 to 516 of the family's 1533-position model. The record is from RNAcentral.